RNAcentral lists this ribosomal RNA (655 nucleotides) under uncultured Bacilli bacterium. Its description in RNAcentral is "bacterial SSU rRNA". It matches the Rfam family "Bacterial small subunit ribosomal RNA", at positions 68 to 709 of the family's 1533-position model. The record is from RNAcentral. Lineage: Bacteria; Bacillati; Bacillota; Bacilli.
GAAGAGAGGAGCUUGCUCUUCUUGGAUGAGUUGCGAACGGGUGAGUAACGCGUAGGUAACCUGCCUUGUAGCGGGGGAUAACUAUUGGAAACGAUAGCUAAUACCGCAUAACAAUGGAUGACCCAUGUCAUUUAUUUGAAAGGGGCAAAUGCUCCACUACAAGAUGGACCUGCGUUGUAUUAGCUAGUAGGUGAGGUAACGGCUCACCUAGGCGACGAUACAUAGCCGACCUGAGAGGGUGAUCGGCCACACUGGGACUGAGACACGGCCCAGACUCCUACGGGAGGCAGCAGUAGGGAAUCUUCGGCAAUGGGGGCAACCCUGACCGAGCAACGCCGCGUGAGUGAAGAAGGUUUUCGGAUCGUAAAGCUCUGUUGUAAGUCAAGAACGAGUGUGAGAGUGGAAAGUUCACACUGUGACGGUAGCUUACCAGAAAGGGACGGCUAACUACGUGCCAGCAGCCGCGGUAAUACGUAGGUCCCGAGCGUUGUCCGGAUUUAUUGGGCGUAAAGCGAGCGCAGGCGGUUUGAUAAGUCUGAAGUUAAAGGCUGUGGCUCAACCAUAGUUCGCUUUGGAAACUGUCAAACUUGAGUGCAGAAGGGGAGAGUGGAAUUCCAUGUGUAGCGGUGAAAUGCGUAGAUAUAUGGAGGAACAC